AUGUUUUUACUAUAUAAAGUGAGAAAACAAUUCACCAUUUGUUAUAUGCAAAGUUAAAUCAUAAAUAAAAAUAUGGCUGAAAUUCUCAUGCUUUUUUAUAUUCCAAUCAUUUAUGUUUCAUUGUUUCUUGAUGUAAUUGAGGGUCUAAUAAAAGCAUGUGACACCGACGUUGAUUGUCAGAAAAAAUAUCCUGGUCCUUUUGAACAUCUUUUGAAGUGUAUUCAUGGUUAUUGUGUGUGCUUUCCUAGAAAUCCAGGUACUAUACAUAAUUUCUUUUGAAUAUUUAAGGUGAUUCUAGUGGCUACCCAAUUUAAUGGAUGUAUAGAUCCAUCAGCUAUUUGAAUUUUUAAUGGUUUAUCAAUUUUUUCCAAUUUACUAAAUAAUACUUUUGUUGCUAUACAAAUACUCGCUCAUGUAUCUAUAUAAGCUUCAGUUUCUUUAUUUUCUCUUUCAAUUUUUAUUUUAAUAUAAGUACUAUUCAGAUUUUGUUUCA
Molecule: long non-coding RNA, 493 nt
Organism: Medicago truncatula (barrel medic)
Lineage: Eukaryota; Viridiplantae; Streptophyta; Magnoliopsida; Fabales; Fabaceae
Exons: 3
Source: RefSeq, a predicted model, not a curated record